Molecule: ribosomal RNA, 201 nt
Filed under: uncultured bacterium
Lineage: Bacteria
Description: partial 16S ribosomal RNA
Rfam family: Bacterial small subunit ribosomal RNA
Source: RNAcentral
UACGUAGGAGGCAAGCGUUGUCCGGAAUUACUGGGCGUAAAGCGCGUGUAGGUGGUGGGACAAGUCUGCUGUGAAAGCGCCUGGCUUAACCGGGCGAGGUCGGUGGAAACUCCUGGUCUAGAGGCCGGUAGAGGGGGGUGGAAUUCCGGGUGUAGUGGUGAAAUGCGUAGAUAUCGGGAAGGAACACCAGUGGCGAAGGCG